This is a non-coding RNA of Xyrichtys novacula (pearly razorfish), 12467 nucleotides long. NCBI's taxonomy places the organism in Eukaryota, Metazoa, Chordata, Actinopteri, Labriformes, Labridae. The record is from the annotation of a GenBank genome assembly.
CCAAACCCCAUGGUACUUGUCAAUACUUGAAUAACAAACUUAUUAGAUAUGAUGUUUAGAUGUGAAUAAGAGACAAUGGCUUUUAGGAGUGAUAGAGAGGAGGAUUUAAAUAGGACUAAGAGAGAGCAGGGCAUCAUGAGAGGUCUGUCUUUGCUCAAAGAAGAGACUGGAGCAUUUCUUGCGUCGGCUUUUUUAGUUUUUCAAAGCUUUGCAUCAUUUCUAUGCAUUGAUUUUAUGUAAACGAUCCAGAGAUUUUCCCAGCACACCCAAAAUGAAAUGAGUUUUUGACUGGCCAAAGAAUUCUGCAGUGAAACAAUAUGAAGACUGAGGGAUGUGUUAAAGCAGUCAGUGGAACAGUGUGGUAUUAUCUCGACAGACAAAGCUUCUCAAUUAUCAACAAACAUGAAAUGAAUCCAAAGAGACCAAUUUUCGCCAAAUAAUCAAGCCAUUAUCAUUCAUGACUCAAUCACAGUGGAAAUUACCAAGUCUCUGCUUGUGCCCGGCAGCAGGAGAAGAAAAAAAGAGCAGACAUGGGAGGGAACAAAGGGAUGAUAAUAGAGCUCAAACCAGUCUGUGGCUCCAGUGGGACCAGUGUUCAUACGCGUCACUAGGGUUUGGUGAGAUAUGGGCGCGCUGCCAUACCCAAGCCUGAUUGAGUGCAAAUUAAAUCUUGUUUCAUGGUUUGAAUGGAAGGCAUAGGAGAAGACAAAAACAACAAACUAUUUAGAGGCAACAUCUGCACGGAAAAUCACAUCAGGAGAGUAUUCAGGAACCACAUGUUUCCUCCAAGCUGAGUUUAUUUACAUCUCAUUGUCAUCACAAUGUAGAAACGAAAACAUCCUGUCAGUUUGGCAUUGUUUCACUUUCCACAAUAAUUAAAGCUAGAUUUAAUGAGAAUCUUAGUUAACUUUCACUUUGUAUUGACCUUGGCGCCCCCGCUAGGAAAAGUACUAUCUCUCGGGUCUUCACUGAUUUUCUCCUGUGCAUGUAAGAGCUAUGAUAUUUUAUCACUUAUUCAAUACUCAUCAGAUCCAGUUUCCUGAAUGGUCACUUUAGACCAGCUUGAAAACUGUCAACUCUUAUAUACUUCUUAUAUAUUCGAAUUAUUGCUAGAAGCCUUUCUGCCUUAGCUACAGAAGGCGAUGACAUGCUCCCUUUCAGGUCAUUACUAUCAGUUCCUGUCCUGGUUGUUGUAUUUCACAUUAAAACAGUCUGCCAAAGACUAACGUGAUGUAAGUCGAACAAUGAAAGCACCAUCACUUUUACAGCUCUGUACUGAUUGUUUGUUAGGAAAGUUUGUGUCCUUUUUAUGUUCUUUAUUUGUCAAGGUUACGACACAGCUUUCUGCUGAGCAACUUCAAACUCAAAGCCUGGUGUCCACUGAGCGCCACACACAGGGCAAUACAACCGUUUAUGUGACAGUCAGACUAAUGCGUUUGCAUGUUUUUUAAAAGUCUGGGUUCAGUUAGACACACAAUGGGCUCUACUUUUGUUCCUCGCCAGCCACGUGGCAUAGGCGCAGCAUAAGUCAGGUCCGCCGCGCCAACAAGGCGUGCCCAAGCACAUUUUGGUAUUGUGGUGAGCGGCGCAGCCCAGUGUAAGUAUCCCCCCUCCCUAACUCAGCUCCUCCCAGCGGCGUAAGUCGUAGAGAGAGGGCGUGGAGUGGGUUUAACACAGCCGAGAUCUGUUUUCGCCAAUCAGAACUGCUCCUCUCCUCACCUUUGAAUCCGCCACUGGCAAGGCAUAUUAUGAUUUUCGUGAAUUAGUCAAAGAGAUCAAGAGAUGUCUGAAGACAGUAAUGCCACACGAUGGCGACAGAAGGCAGCCCCUCAACAAGUGUCGCUAUAAGUGCUGCAGAGGGCAUCCUGCACACUCUCUCAUAUGAGCACAGAUGGAUUUUAUGUGUGUAAGGUUGGACCCACUGGUAAGACAAACACCCUUUUCCACAAAUAAAGACACUUACAUAAAGUUGCAUAUAUUGAAACCUCACGUGACAAAGGUGGGUUGUGCGGACAGAUCACAACAUAAAUUCCAAAAAUGGCAUUAAAAUCGGAACCAUCUGUGCGUAAUGACGCAUCGCGCUCCAUGGCCUGGCUCUUUCUUUCAUAGAUGUUGGCAUAUAAAAUAAAUUUGGCUCACAAAACUGAAUAUUAUAAUAUUUGUAUGUAGGCUUAAAGUACAUAACUUAUCUGAUCACUAAAAUAAAUCAUCUGUUCAGCCGCCGGCGCAGCAGCAGCUGCAGCAGGAUGGAGAGAGGACACAGAGACAUGUCCAGGUCGGGCUGCAUGAGAAAUAAGAGGAAGAGGAAGAAAGAAAAGGAGGGAGGCGAAUUACAUAUCUUGUUAAUUUCAUCAUGUGUGUCUAUUUACUAGAUAUUUUAUUUAAUUUAAUGCGGUUUCAGCUGUGUUGAUUUGGUCAGGUUGUGUGUCCAAAUGCGUGCCAAACGCGCUCAUCAGAUCAGAUAUAGAUCAGAAUAUAUCGAAAUAGAUCUAAAUGUAUGUGCUGACUAAGAAUAUUGGUUGUUGAUUAUUUUUUUAACUAAAAUGUGCCUGACACUGUGGAAAUCUGCCGAUGAGGCUUUAUAUAGAAUAGACGGCGUCUGCCUCCUUGCAGGGUGAAGCCACCACAAGAACAGCACCCUCUGGUGACAGGCUGCAGUAUAGGUCAUAAAUCCCUCCUCCAGUAAUUCCUAUGGAGCAGUUCACAAACUUUUAAAAUUAAUUACACAGAAUAUACAUUUUUCUUGCAAUGUUGACAUGUAGUUACUGUAAGACUGGUUUGUUCCCAAGUCCUCUUUUUUCUAAAAAUGUUUUUUUUUUUUUUUCCCCUAGUUUUUUUAAGUUCCUAUGAAUGUACGAAGAUUACAUAGCUCAUCCAGGGGAUAUGCUGUUUGAGCGUCAUCACACCUACUCCCCUGCCAAAUGCGUACAACACUACUGCACAAGUGGUGGUUCCAGGAAGUGGAGAAAAUCCCAGAAAUACAGAGAGCAAUUCGGCUUCAAAUUCGUAUAAUGAGGGAAGGCGGGAGCAAGUUGUCCAUAGUAUUUACAGUCUAUGUGCUCACCAAACCUGACCAUUUAGCUUUUCUGCUUAUCUAGUUAGAAUACAAGCAAACAAAUAAGGUGAAACCUACCAUUGCUAACUUCUCCUCUCUGUUUCCAAUUUCCCUUUUUACUGAGUCUUAGUUUGUAGUCUAUGGAGAAUUAAGGUGAUGGCUGUGAGCAAAGGGGGAAACAGAGUCUUAAAUAUGAGAAAAGGUCUUCCAGUCUGAUUGUCAAAAGCCAGGUAGCUUUUUUGACACUUGAUGAUAAACUCUGAAAAGUGAGACCUAAAAGCCUUACCGGGGGAAUAAGGUAAAGACAUGGCAUAUUGUGGUUUUACAGAAGUAUGAUUUCCUGAAGUCUUUCUAUCACUGUGACUACAGAGGCUUGAAAAGGUCAAUGCUUCAGGUGGAGAAAUGUUUGAUUCAUGCCUGUGAACCCUGCUCAACCCUAGAUGCAUUUUUUUUAACCAAGCAUUUCUAUAAAGUCCCAUUAAAAAUAAACAUUCUUGUAAUUACAUGGUGUCUUGAGUUACCUUUUUAAGAGUCAGACCAGCUGCUUCCCCCAGCCUCCAUUCCCAAUGCGAAGCUAACUGGUGUUCACAUCAAAUUUGCUCCAAAUAGGAAAGAUCUCUAAACCCAAAUCUAAUAAAUAUACACAGUAUUUAUGUUUAUAUCCCUGUUACCAUUCAAGUUACAGUGGAUAGGAAGAACUUCCUUUAACAGGUAGAAACCACGAGCAGAACCAGAGUGAUGUUAGACAGUCAUCUGCUGAGACUGAGCUGGGUUUAGAGAGGGGAGAGAGGGAGAUGACUGGUGCACAUAGUUGAAUCUGUUUAUAAUUGGAGGCCUGUGAAACUAAUGUUAUAAUUUUGUCCAAAGAAGUAAUUUCACUGUGUGAUGCAUUCAAAAGGUUUUUUUGUUUCUUCAUAUUUGGUGGUAUUAGGAUGUGAUGCUUGGGUAAUUUGUGGUGUUUGUGGUGUGGUGCUAUUAUAUGAACAUUUGUGUUGUGGUUGAUGGCGUAAGGCUCCUGUUUGGAAAGUUUGUGGCAAGAGUAUGUGUUUGGAUAGUUUGUUGUGUGUGGAUAUGUUGUUUGGACAUUUGUGGUGUGCUUCAUUUGUGAAGGAUAUGCUGUUUGGACAUUUGUGGUGUGGUUGGAGGUGAGGAUGUGUUGUUUGGAUAGCGUGUGGAUGGACUCUGGUUGCUGGUGUCAGCGUGGCUCUAAUCAGCUGUUGGCAGGAGGAUGAGCGGGCGGUCUCUCCCUGCGGCGGCACCCCAGGUCGAAAGCCGGUUUGAAGUUUAAUGAUGCCAGCUGCCAGCUCCGCCAGGCUGUGAGCGCUAACGAGCUGGCACUGGCGGCGGACUGGGCCACGGCGGCAGCACCUGGAAAUGUAGCACACGUUUCAGAGAGGCGGGGCUCCACCGGGGCUGUUGAGGGGCCUGCUGGAGACCCAGGACAGCACCGAGAGGCCCACGUCUCUUUGAAGAGCGCCCCAAUUUCCAUAUUUCAUUACGCACUGCUGACUGACAAGGCCCAGCCAGAUGUUCUAUUUUCAGCUAUUUAAAUUUUGACCUGCUUUCCUAGCAUGGAUGCAAAAAGAAAAAAAAAAGAUUUCAUCAAAACACAGAUGCCAACGAUGAUAGGAAGUUGAAUCUGGCACUUCUACAUCUGCUUUUUUUCCCAUCAUUCUUCACGUCUGUCCAUCGUAGUUAGCAUCAAUAGAAUAGCCAGACAUUAAAUGUUGCUCCUUAACUCACACAACCUUUGACAAUCUAUCCUGAGGCAUUCACUGUCUUGCUCAAGGACUCUAUAACAAGACAGGAUGGCUGUUUCAGGGAUCAAACCUGAGACCUUGUAUUUAUGAAACAACCUCUAACCAUCCAGCCAUCCCGGCGCUGAAUUGGCUCCAAAGUGAGUGAUGCAUGCUCUGAAACAGCACAUAAAGCGUGCUCGCACUGCUUCUCUGUCCCUGAGAUCGGGGAUGAUUAAUUCCUUUGGUAUUCAUGUUGAAACGGCUGUUAGAUUGCAGCGUCCUCACUCAAUCCCUCAUGCAAAAAUACAUCGACAACCCUGACCUUUUUGUGCAUCUGCUGCAAAUGGCACUUUGUCAUCCUGAGUGAGCAAGCUCAAGGAUCAAUGUGGUUUUGCUGAAAUAAAACUUCUACGAUGCACUUUCUUUCUGUCUCUCACUUUUUAUAGGCUGUGGGUGAGUGUGGGUUCCUAUGUCUGGGUUUCAGGACAGCAAAACUCUUGGAGUGGAGGAAAGACAAAGCAAAAGAAAGACUAGGGCUGGGACACAGCAGGAACAAGUCGAGAACAUCUCAGAGCUGAGCACCACAUGGCAGAAUAUUAAAAGCACUCAUUUUGGGAGAAACAGAGGAAGAAAGGCUUUCAGUCAUUACCCAACUCAACUCACAGCAGGAGAGGAAAAGUGUCUUUUUCCUUCAGUAAUGCAUUUGUGAGUGUUUACGUCUAGGUCAGUCUGUCUGAGUGGAAAAUAAGGAGGUAAUUGAGAUGUAACAGAUGCGCUAAACUGGCAAUACUGACACCGAGAUAAAAGGGAAUGAAAGCUAUUAAAAUGUGUUUUUUUUUUCUUGUAGGUGCAUAUUAUAAAUGUCCACAAAUUGACAAACUGAGGAGGGAAUAUCAGCUUUUCCAUGCUCUGUGUUCGAUGGAGGAAGUGUGUUAAAGAAAGUUUAUCAUCUACUCAGCUGUAGUUCAUUGAGAGUAAACACUGGAGUCUACAAGAUAAGGUGACAUAAUCAAUACAUGUUUAGUGCUCAGAGGAGCUGUAAGGUGGAGGAGAUAUCACUAACAACCCAUGCUAUGAGAUAACAUAAUAAAUCCAUUUAAACUCUUUAAUCCAAGAUCUCAGAUCUGCAGAGGUGUAAUAGUUCAGAGCUAACACGUUAGGACUUGAAUUUUGACUACAACCCAAAAAAAAUGUGGAUAUGAAGUCACGAACAUAAACAUUUAACUUAAGGAUCCACAAUUCAAUUCCUUCCAGCUGCAACAUCAAAUUUUCCAAACUGCCAAAUAAUCAAGCCAUUAUCAUUCAUGAGUCGAUCACAGUGUGAAUUACCAAGUCUCUGCUUGUGCCAGCAGCAGGCAAAGAAAAAAGAGCAGGCAAGGGAAGGAACAAAGAGAUGAUAUUAGAGCUCAAACCGCUCUGUGGCUCCAGUAGGACCAAUGGUCAUCAUUGGCAUCACUGGCAUUUAGAUAAAUACAUACUUGCUGUCAUACCUGAGCUUGACUGAGUACUAUUUUAAGUGGGACGUUCAUACUCUUUACUUAAAAAUGACUAUCUAACCAUCUGUAACAUUUAUAAUGUUGUGAGAACUGGUCAAAGACCAAUUAAGCUGCAAAAAAGCCAAAACUUAAAUACCAAAGACUGCUGUCCUUUUCAUGGCCACUUGAGGCUGUGCCAAUAUGAGGCAAUCGCCAUAGAAAAAUCCUGUUGUAAUGUCAAAUUUAUCAGCUGCAAUAUACAGUUUUGGUCUCAUCAUGAAACUGUUUCUGGCCUAUUUAAAUCAUACUAUGGCAAAAGUUGUGCACACUGAAUAUCUUGGAAAUACAGAGUGACAUGUGGCUGUUUGCUAGGUUUCACUUGAGCUAAUCCUGUCACUCAUCUCUUGGCUGCUGGUCUUGUUGGUGCAUUUCAGUGAUUUUUGACAUGUAUUACAUCCUACCUUCAUAUUGCUAUCUACAAUUAAAUAAAUGUUUAAGAUACCGCCAGUUAUAGGUUAGAUCAAAUUAAUGACUGACAAGUAAAAAUGUAAGUUUACAUCAACAAAAACCUCUGGAUUUCUUUGUUGUAUUUAUAUUUCACUACACUGAUUUCAGAUAUCAGAAAUACCCAUGUCAAGUUGUCCAGACCAAAGGAACCCUAAUACAUUGCAAAACUUCAUACAGAGGCCUGUCCCAAUUAAAGGCUCUUUGUGCAGCAGGGUGAUUGACGAAUAAAGUUGAGUCUCUAUCAGAAGCCUGUAUAGGUUAUGCUGUCAGUUUGUCAAAUUUGCUCAACAAGAGAAGCAGAAAGAUACUUCUCUAGUGAUUUUUAAGAGAGUAAGAGGAAUCAUGAAGCUGAAAUUCAAACUUGAUAUGAGAAAGAGGAUUUUAAAAGGGGGGAGGGGGCUUAAAAAUUAACUGAACUGAAUGCUCAGGUUGGCAUUUCUGGCUUUUGAGGUGACAGGAUUAUUUAUGUUUCUUUUUUUUUUUUUUUUUGCUUUGUUUUAAAUCUAAACCUAAUAAAGACUGAAAAAGCUGUGAAAACUGAACAAUUAACAAGCAAAAGUUAGCUUUGUUCUAAAGUAAUCAAAAGCCAGUCUCCCAUUGUAGCCUGCCUCAAAUAAAUGCAGGAUGCGUUUUUAGACUGAAACAAAUAAAAGCCUGGGCUGCAAAUUUGAGUUUUACGGUAGUUCGUGUGAAACAAACAAACACAAUUAAGAUUUUUUUUAAAUGGAUUGUUAGAGUUUAUGAGCAACAAAUUUCUCAUUUCCAGCAGCAGCUGUUUACUUUUUGAACCUAGUACUUUCUUUUGCCUGAAUCAGACAGAAAAAAGUUAGCUGUUGUUUGUGAACACAGUGUAGACUGAACUGAGAAAGAAUCCAGUUUACGUUUUUACGUUCACUAUGAAAUGAAUGAUUUUGCUCCCUUUCUAUUAGAUGCAUAAAUAACCUUUACUUUACGAACAGAUAAGUUGUAGUUAGUUACAGAGCUACAGAGAAAGUAAAAGGUUUAAAACUGCAAAACUUGAUAUAAAUAAAAAAAAAAAAAUUUCAGUGAUAUAACCUCUGUGGGGAAAGAAAGUCUGCCAAAAAUGGAGGAAAGAGCUGUAGAUUAUUUUCCUGGCAGAGAUACUUUCAUAAAUGAUUAACAUUCAGUAAUUUCAGCCAGAAAUAUGUCAUCUGUAUUUUUAUAUAACCACCUCAACUGAACAAAUAAAGAUUCAGUGAUACCGGUGGUACCAACAGAGAUAAUACAGGACUUUGAACUCCAUGCAGUCAUUGACUUUCUUAAUAUUACAUUUUUAUUACACACAGAUAAAAAAGUGAAAAUGUUGUAUCAUACAGUGGUAAUAGUGAAACUCCUUGAAGUCAAGCUAAUAUUCUUUUCAAGAGAACAAUUUCUCUAUGCAGCCAAGAAAUUUUUAGUGAGAGUAAAUGUUAGUGCAAGUUUACACAAAUAUAUCCAGAUUAUUAAUCCCUCCUCCUCCUCGUUCUGCUCACUCUCGGAAUUUCCCCCAGCCUCUAUGAAGAUGCUUUAGUCAGGACUUUGUUAGUAUGAACGCUGCAGGAUCCUCCGCUCCCUGUUUCUGGACUGCAGGACCUUUGGCAUGACCUUUUGAAGACAAUUUGCAGCAGUAGCAAUCGCCCUUCGCCUCGCCCCAUGUUAUUUUCCCUCAUUAUUUUUUUCAAUGUUACCUUUGCAGCAGGGCAAAAAGAAGGGCAGGACUCCACACAGGGGUCAAAGGUCAGGAGGAAGAGGGUAAAGAUGCAGGUCAGAUUGGCUCCACAGUUGUGUUCACCCUGUGUCCUCAGAGAAUUCACUGUCAUGGCGUCAUUUGAACUCUGAACCCUGCAGCUGUCAGUCAAACAGAUGACCCUCAGCGGUGACUGUUAUGGGGUUUGGUGAUUAGGAACAUUUCCCAGCCUGCAGGGAUAAGGUGGACAGGCAUUAUGGAGCUUCAAUGUGUGGCAUUAAAUAAAUUAACAUGUAAGGGAAAUCUAUUUCCCUGGCAACAUGUAGUUUUUAGUCCUGCUGCUACAUGGCUUUAGGACACGUUGGUCAGUCCAUCCUGAUAGACCAAAAUAAGUUACCUGUUGGCUGACCCUGAGUCUUUCCCAACAAUUGUGAGUUCUCCUUAUUUAUUGAUACUUUUUAGCACAACCAAUAUUUAAACUUGUUUUUUUGUGUUUUUUUCUGACAACUGUUCACCCCUUCGAUCUUUAUCUAGCCCAAAUAUAUUGACCUCCAUUUUUUAAAUUAGCCCAGCAGCAUAGUCUACACACCAACAAUGCAACCACCUGUCAGUCAAAUCAGUUAGGCCUCUAAUUAUACCUGACUAAGCAUGAUCCAUAGCCUUCACACACAGAAAUCACCCUCUGAGCACCUGCCACAACCAAAUAAACCAAAACUUUUUGUCUCAUGUUCUUGGCUGUCACCAUGUUUAUUUUUGCUCUUAAAGCUGUUGGCAUUUUUCCAUUGGCUCUGAUGGCUUCUUUGGCUUUUGGAGCCAGCCUCAAGUGGGCAAUUGAAGGCCAUCAGCUUUAUGCAUUAGCUUUAUUUCUCAACAACUUUGCUACACGGUUUUUCAUGAUGGCUCUUUUUAUUUUGUGUUUCUAUUCUUUUUGUUUUGGAUCCAGAAGCAGCCAUACUUCAUAAGGUUUCUUGGACCUCUCCACGACCCAUUGGUGUGUCAGGCUUAAAACAAUGUGUGGUCAGGUAAACAGGAUGGAAAAGGCAACUGAUCCAAUUAUAAUCAGGUCAUAAGUCUUCUGUACUUUUCCUGCUAUUCAAGAAAGGGUGCAUUAGUUUGAUUAGCUCCUAAUCGUGAAGAAAUAUGGAUGGAUUUACUGAAACAUCUGUUACAAUGUUCACAGUGUGACCUGGCAAUCACAGAGCUAUAAACUAGUACUGUGACAUAGACUGUAUGAACAACUUGGGUCCACCUUCCACCAGUAUAUGGAUUUGAAGCUGAAAAGCUCUCAGUAAUUCUGCGUUUUUUUCUCCUCUUCCUGAGACCACCACUUGCACAGUAGCAUUGUAAGCAUUCGGUGGGAGAGUUGCCAAGAGUCGCUGUGAUGAUGCUCAGCUCAAACAGCGUAUCCCCCAAGUGAGCUACGCAAUCUUAAUAAUAUGUAAUAAAUUUCUAAAGUUUGUCCACAGCUCCAUAGGGAUUGCUGGAGGAGGCAGGAUUUUUGACCUAUACUGCAGCCCAUCACCAGAGGGUGCUGUUCUCGGAGUGGUUUCACCCAGCGAGGGGGCAGACGGCGUCUAUUCAAUGUACCAUGACUUCAUUAACAGACAGAACUUCACAGUGGUACUGUUCUAACUAUCACAACCGAUGAUGCUGGAAAGGGGCUGAGCAGACCACAUCCAGAAAAAACAAUAAAAAUGUCUGUUAUGGUAGUCCUUCCCAAACUCCUCAUAAAUGCAGGGAUGUUGUUGCCAAGGCUCUACAAACUGAACCUCUGUCUUAUAGAUCCAUCUCCAUCUGGCAGCACCCACUCAAUCGCUCCCCUUUUGCUUCACUGUUUGGUUUGUUCAUGCUUGUGACUUUUGCACCUGCAGAGAGCUCUGUGCUCUCAUCGGUCAAUGCCACUGCAGUAUAGAAACAAAUUGUAGAAAGCAAAGGGAAAAAUCAAACAUUUUAGACUUCCUGUCAGGAGGUCAUGAGCUAUCCCAGACAUGGUUUUGAUUGUCGUUAAUAAUGACACACUGCACAAGAUAAAAUGAUCGAUUUUUGGAGCAGACAGGUCCUGACACCCUACGUCUGCCAGAUCAGGCUACAAUUCUGCUUAUGUCAUAUCGUUUGACCUCAGCAAAGAGCAUACCUUGCUUACAAUUACAUAUUACUCUGAAUGGCAUCAUUAUUUACAAUGCACUGUAUUGAAACAAACUUCAAACUUGUGGUACCUGAUCAUCUGAGGAGGCCAUUUUUUUAUUUAUUUCUUUAGGUCACAACCUUUACUUAAAAAAAAAUCCAAGUUGCCCUCACUGGUCUCCACAAAGAGUGCAUGUUAAGGGCACUUCUGCUUUUCCUUUGAAAGGACGACACUUCAGGAGGAUAUGUCGAUUUCUUAUUUAGAGCUAUCAUGUUCAAAUAUCACCAAAGUUUUUUAUUAACUUUGCCUUCUUGUCAGAUUCUUAUGAUCUAACAAUAGCAGUAGAAGUCUUUAUUAUUUACAAACCCUAUUCCAGUGAAGUUGGGACAUUGUAUAAAACGUGAAUAAAAACUGAGUAUGCUUUGCAAUUUUUUUUAUCCACUCUCCCUUAGGAACAUGCCACAGCAUUAAACUCAAAAUGAGAAAUAAAACAAGUUUAUCAGCUCAAAGAUUAAAUAUCUUGUCUAUAAUGUAUUCAACUGAAUGUAGGUGGGAAAGGAUUUGCAAACUAUUUGUUUUUAUUCAUAUUUAACACAACGUCCCAACUUGAUUAGAAUUGAGGUUUGUACCUGCUGGACACAAGUAUGUUAGCGUGCAAAUUCUGACAGCUCCAGUAUACAUACUUAACCACAGAGCAGCUGCAGUCAUGGCUGUACCAUUGAGGUUUGUUGAUUUUCAAGUCAUAACAGCAACAAAAACUCUUUGAAAUCUUGUUUUAUUUUCUAGGUGUAAAAGAUUGAAGUUACAGAAUCCCCGAUGCAAAACUUUUAAGCACAACUCUUGUGAAUUAAGAAUCAAGUGUAAAUAUAACCUGAUCUGCAGAUAGAUCAUUUGUACUGUUACAACCCUGAAUGGCAAACUCAUUGCAGGUCCAGUUUGUAUUUGAUGCACUUACUCAAGAAACCAGAAGCACCAUUUAAUGUGCAGGGCAUUUUCAGAUGAGAUUUUUUUUUCGUGAAUUACUUCGAUAUUAAGGCAAAAUACUACAAAAUCCCAGAAACAUAUUUGCAGCAUCAAAUGAUUCCUUCAACAGUUUGUUCAUUAGAGACAUGCAGAACUUCCUCCUCUUCAAGUUUGAAGCCUUAUGUUUAACGGUGACACAGGAUUUUACCAGUUUUCAGUUUGCUUUCAUGAAGGUAUUAAAAUUGCAGGUAAAUCAACAAAUAAAUGAGCUCCAGAAAAUGGAGGUAUCUUGGCAUUGUUUGGAAUAUUGGAAAUGAAGCAGUUGAAUACUGUGCCGAAGUUAAUUUUCAUUUCCACUGAUGAAAUAAAAUCCAGUUAUAAAAAAGGUGGGUGAAGAGUCAGACAUGAGCUUCUGAUCAAAUACGCUGGUCUCCUUGACAUUUUCUGCUCUGCGUUGGCUGUUCAUUCUCAUCACAUUUCACAGAGGUGCAUACAGGAUGACACGACCUGUUGACAUUUGCAAACUCAUCUAGAUGAGAGUAAUAGCCUUCUAUAAGGAGCAACACCUACACGUGUCCUUCUAAAGGGUCCCGUUUCUGUUGCUGUGUCAUAUGAGAAAAUGUUAUUGCUUUAACAGACAUAAGUCCACCUCGACAGACAGGUCCAGGUCUUAUUUUCUUGUCUGUAGCAUCUUUCAGAUGCCUGAAAUGAUUACAACAGAUGCACAGAAUAGCAGGAAGGUCUCAUAAAUUGACUUAAUGCCAGUGAGGUUUCAUGAUCACAUUGUCUGGACUGCCACCAGGGGGACCUGGCUGCUUAAAUGUGACCAGCUCAAAGUCUGCUCCAGCUUUAUGGAUAAGGGAUCUGGAUAGCUGCCAAGAGCAGUGUAGUGCAACAGCAGCUGAGGUAAGGGCAG